Molecule: long non-coding RNA, 1423 nt
Organism: Mustela erminea (ermine)
Lineage: Eukaryota; Metazoa; Chordata; Mammalia; Carnivora; Mustelidae
Exons: 5
Source: RefSeq, a predicted model, not a curated record
ACCUUAUGAAGCCAGUUCUCCUAUUAGCCCCAUUUUACAGAUGGGGAGCUGGAACAUUAAUGAGGUUAAGAGGCAUGCCCAGGACUGAAAUACGGAAUAAAUGAGCGAUGAAUUGAGUCUACAGAAAGGCUGCUGUUCAUUCACUGAUUGCCAAGGAGCAGAGGCAUCGGGAGGGGCGGAUGGCAGGAGGAGCUGAAGAUGGUGUUAGAGAAGGCAGGCGAAGAACACCAAGGCUGGACCUGUUCUGAGACACAAGGUUAAGAUACUCAAGUUGCUGUGAUGGAAGCCACCCCAUAGAGAGGUCCACAUGGCAGUGAGGACUUGGGGGCUGCUAACAGCCACAUGACUGAGCCUGGGAGCGGACUAACCCCCAGUUGGACCUUGAGAUGAAGAGUGCAAACUCAUGAGAGACCUCGAGUCAGAUGAACCAACUAGAUCACACUGGAUUCCUGACCUACAGAAGACUAGGAGAACAAACUCUCCAGCCGGCUGCAUUUCCCCUGCCCUUAAGAGACCUGCGGGGAGAACUCUCAAACCCAUACGGCAGUCGUCAAAGCGACACCAAGAGGCCUGACAUUUCCCUGAAGGACACAUUUAGGCACUAUGGUGUCCACCAUUCGUUAAAAUUCAAGUACCCUGGGAAAAGUACUGUAAUAAACCUGUACUGUUACGGAACCCGGACUGGAACCCCCAACUGAAGAACCAAGAGGCAGGUGGAGAUCUUGGAGGACAGAAGGUUUAUUUGACACCGAAGGACUCAGUGAAGAAUGAUCUCCAAAGGUCUGAGCCCAUCCGAGCACAAGCAAGGCCUCCAGUGGAUUGACUGAGGCCCACCCACAUCAGGAAGGACAAUCUGCUCUACAGAGUCUGUUCCCUCAAAUGUUAAUCUCAUCUGGAAACAUCCUCGCAGACAAAACCAGAGUGAUGUCUGAUCAGGUAUGUCAGCAGCCAGUGGUCCAGGCAAGUCAACACCUAAAAUUACGCAGCACAGUGGUCUCACUCAGGUACGAUUAAAGAAACCUCAGUAGUUCCAAGAGCUUGCAUCACUAUGCUUAAGAGUCAAAGCCCCAGGGAAGAGUCUGCUUUGUUGAUAUGAGGUCAUGUGACUGUCCCUAUCCUAUAGAGGUAGUAAGAAAAAUAAUCUGGUGGCAAUACCCAGCACAUAAUAUACGUUCCGUAUCUGGGCAGCUAUUGUUGUAAUUUUUAUCUCUCUCCUCUCUGUGCCUUAUUGUCAGCUCAGUGAGUCAUCCCACAAUGUCCUUACAACCUGGGUAUCCUGAGAACAACCUCCUCAACACCCACCAGCCAAGUUUGCUUCUUUCCCAGCCACAAUAUACACAAUUUAGGUGUUAAACAGUGAUGACAGUUAUUUCAGUUCUUGCCGUCGUGUUUACCAAGCUUUCAAAGUCUUGCCUCCAGGAGA